This 497-nucleotide ribosomal RNA is filed under the name uncultured bacterium. RNAcentral's name for it is "partial 16S ribosomal RNA". It matches the Rfam family "Bacterial small subunit ribosomal RNA", at positions 28 to 507 of the family's 1533-position model. The record is from RNAcentral.
GAUGAACGCUGGCGGCGUGCCUAAUACAUGCAAGUCGAGCGAACGGACGAGAAGCUUGCUUCUCUGAUGUUAGCGGCGGACGGGUGAGUAACACGUGGAUAACCUACCUAUAAGACUGGGAUAACUUCGGGAAACCGGAGCUAAUACCGGAUAAUAUUUUGAACCGCAUGGUUCAAAAGUGAAAGACGGUCUUGCUGUCACUUAUAGAUGUAUCCGCGCUGCAUUAGCUAGUUGGUAAGGUAACGGCUUACCAAGGCAACGAUGCAUAGCCGACCUGAGAGGGUGAUAGGCAACACUGGAACUGAGACACGGUCAAGACUCCUAAGGGAGGCAGCAGUAGGGAAUCUUCCGCAGAGGGCGAAAGCAUGACGGAGCAACGCCGCGUGAGUGAUGAAGGUCUUCGGAUCGUAAAACUCUGUUAUUAGGGAAGAACAUAUGUGUAAGUAACUGUGCACAUCUUGACGGUACCUAAUCAGAAAGCCACGGCUAACUACGUG